AAAACCCAAACCAGUAAAUGCCAAAUAGAGCCCUAUAGCUGCACACCAUUGAUUCUUGCUGCUAAUAAUACCGUCUUUUUCGUAAUUUUCCUCUUCCUUCGAUUAUUCUGCAUAAUUUAUUACAUCAUCCUCUUUCUUCUGCUGCCGCCGCCUUUCCAAAUUCAAUUCCAACUCCAGCAAACGAACCCAUUGCCUGUAAG
This 200-nucleotide long non-coding RNA is filed under the name Erythranthe guttata (spotted monkey flower). RNAcentral's name for it is "long non-coding RNA (EGUT_LNC002367)". The record is from RNAcentral. Lineage: Eukaryota; Viridiplantae; Streptophyta; Magnoliopsida; Lamiales; Phrymaceae.